RNAcentral lists this ribosomal RNA (325 nucleotides) under uncultured eukaryote. RNAcentral's name for it is "partial 18S ribosomal RNA". It matches the Rfam family "Eukaryotic small subunit ribosomal RNA", at positions 1470 to 1796 of the family's 1831-position model. The record is from RNAcentral.
CCCUUAGAUGUUCUGGGCCGCACGCGCGCUUCACUGAUGCAUUCAACGAGCCUAUCCUUGACCGACAGGUCCGGGUAAUCUUUGAAUCUGCAUCGUGACGGGGAUAGAUUAUUGCAAUUAUUAAUCUUCAACGAGGAAUGCCUAGUAGGCGCAAGUCAUCAGCUUGCGUCGAUUACGUCCCUGCCCUUUGUACACACCGCCCGUCGCUCCUACCGAUUGGGUGUGCUGGUGAAAUGUUCGGAUCGGCCGUUUGUCGCGGUUUCCGCGUCAUGUGGCUGAGAAGUUCAUUAAACCCUCCCACCUAGAGGAAGGAGAAGUCGUAACA